UGAGGAAUAUUGGUCAAUGGACGAAAGUCUGAACCAGCCAUGCCGCGUGAAGGAUGAAGGCGUUCUGCGUUGUAAACUUCUUUUAUCUGGGAAGAAACCUGAAUUUUCUAAUUCAGCCGACGGUACCAGAGGAAUAAGCACCGGCUAACUCCGUGCCAGCAGCCGCGGUAAUACGGAGGGUGCAAGCGUUAUCCGGAUUUACUGGGUUUAAAGGGUGUGUAGGCGGACUUUUAAGUCAGAGGUGAAAUCUCCGGGCUCAACCCGGAAACUGCCCCUGAUACUAUUAGUCUUGAAUAUUGAUGAGGUGGGCGGAACGGGUCAUGUAGCGGUGAAAUGCUUAGAGAUGACCCGGAACACCAAUUGCGAAGGCAGCUCACUGGGCAAUUAUUGACGCUGAGGCACGAAAGCGUGGGGAUCAAACAG
Molecule: ribosomal RNA, 423 nt
Filed under: uncultured bacterium
Lineage: Bacteria
Description: bacterial SSU rRNA
Rfam family: Bacterial small subunit ribosomal RNA
Source: RNAcentral